UUGGAGGGCAAGUCUGGUGCCAGCAGCCGCGGUAAUUCCAGCUCCAAUAGCGUAUAUUAAAGUUGUUGCAGUUAAAAAGCUCGUAGUUGAAUUUCGGAAUUUUUUUAUCGGUUGAAUCAACAGGUUCGUACUGAUUUUAAGAAUUUCUACCUUCUGGAGAACUUUAAUGUCAUUUAUUUGAUGUUUUAGGAAACCAGGACUGUUACCUUGAAAAAAUUAGAGUGUUUAAAGCAGGCUUAUGUCUGAAUAUAUUAGCAUGGAAUAAUGAAAUAGGACGGCAUGGUUCUAUUUUGUUGGUUUCUAGGAUCACCGUAACGAUUAAUAGGGAUAGUUGGGGGCAUUAGUAUUCAAUUGUCAGAGGUGAAAUUCUUGGAUUUAUUGAAGACUAACUUCUGCGAAAGCAUUUGCCAAGGAUGUUUUCAUUAAUCAAGAACGAAAGUUAGGGGAUCGAAGACGAUCAGAUACCGUCGUAGUCUUAACCAUAAACUAUGCCGACUAGGAAUCGGACGAAGUUAAUUUUUUAAUGACUCAUUCGGCGCCUUACGGGAAAC
RNAcentral lists this ribosomal RNA (551 nucleotides) under uncultured Glomeromycotina. RNAcentral describes it as "SSU rRNA". It matches the Rfam family "Eukaryotic small subunit ribosomal RNA", at positions 548 to 1098 of the family's 1831-position model. Lineage: Eukaryota; Fungi; Glomeromycota. The record is from RNAcentral.